RNAcentral lists this ribosomal RNA (268 nucleotides) under uncultured bacterium. Its description in RNAcentral is "partial 16S ribosomal RNA". It matches the Rfam family "Bacterial small subunit ribosomal RNA", at positions 28 to 319 of the family's 1533-position model. The record is from RNAcentral.
GAUAAACGCUGGCGGCGUGCCUAACACAUGCAAGUCGAACGCCCUGGAGCAAUUCAGGGAGUGGCGGACGGGUGAGGAACACGUGGGUUAGUCUGCCUUGAGGUGAGGAAUACCGGCGAGAAAUCGCCGACAAUACCGCAUACGUUCGUAAGAACAAAGUCGCAAGACGCCACAAGAUGAGCCUGCGUCCGAUUAGCUAGUUGGUGGGAAAGCCGUACCAAGGCAGCGAUCGGAGCUGGUCUGAGAGGACGAUCAGCCACACUGGGAC